Molecule: unclassified non-coding RNA, 25 nt
Filed under: Mus musculus (house mouse)
Lineage: Eukaryota; Metazoa; Chordata; Mammalia; Rodentia; Muridae
Description: oocyte_clustered_small_RNA6594
Source: RNAcentral
CACAGAUAUGUGUUGAGCAGGCUUU